RNAcentral lists this ribosomal RNA (253 nucleotides) under uncultured bacterium. RNAcentral's name for it is "partial 16S ribosomal RNA". It matches the Rfam family "Bacterial small subunit ribosomal RNA", at positions 524 to 776 of the family's 1533-position model. The record is from RNAcentral.
UACGAAGGGGGCGAGCGUUGUUCGGAUUUACUGGGCGUAAAGGGCGCGCAGGCGGCCGCAUUUGUCAGGCGUGAAAGCCCCGGGCUUAACCUGGGAACUGCGUUUGAUACGGUGUGGCUAGAGUUCGGGAGAGGAGAGUGGAAUUCCCAGUGUAGAGGUGAAAUGCGCAGAUAUCGGGAAGAACACCCGUGGCGAAGGCGGCUCUCUGGGACGGUACUGACGCUGAGACGCGAAAGCGUGGGGAGCGAACAGG